GGCACAUGAUGUCUGUUUCUCACGAUGGUCUGCGGAGGCCACGGGCAAUGCCGAGAACGCCUGACGGCUCAGCUGAUGCCAGGAG
Molecule: small nucleolar RNA, 85 nt
Organism: Ochotona curzoniae (black-lipped pika)
Lineage: Eukaryota; Metazoa; Chordata; Mammalia; Lagomorpha; Ochotonidae
Product: small nucleolar RNA SNORD35
Exons: 1
Source: RefSeq, a predicted model, not a curated record